AACGAACGCUGGCGGCAUGCCUAACACAUGCAAGUCGAACGAACCCCUCGGGGUGAGUGGCGCACGGGUGCGUAACACGUGGGAACCCGCCCUUAGGUUCGGAAUAACAGUUAGAAAUGACUGCUAAUACCGGAUAAUGUCUUCGGACCAAAGAUUUAUCGCCUUUGGAUGGGCCCGCGUAGGAUUAGAUAGUUGGUGAGGUAAAGGCUCACCAAGGCGACGAUCCUUAGCUGGUCUUAGAGGAUGAUCAGCCACACUGGGACUGAGACACGGCCCAGACUCCUACGGGGGGCAGCAGUGGGGAAUAUUGGACAAUGGGCGAGAGCUUGAUCCAGCAAUACCGCGUGAGUGAUGAAGGCCUUAGGGUUGUAAAGCUCUUUUACCUGGGAUGAUAAUGACAGUACCAGGAGAAUAAGCCCCGGCUAACUCCGUGCCAGCCGCCGCCGUAA
This 449-nucleotide ribosomal RNA is filed under the name uncultured bacterium. Its description in RNAcentral is "partial 16S ribosomal RNA". It matches the Rfam family "Bacterial small subunit ribosomal RNA", at positions 29 to 523 of the family's 1533-position model. The record is from RNAcentral.